CUCCAAAGAGCUGCACAACUUAGCAUUAGUCUUUUAAACUAAAGAAAAUAUAUUAAUUAUUUUUGGAGA
This 69-nucleotide transfer RNA is filed under the name Melaenis sp. YZ-2018. Its description in RNAcentral is "tRNA-Lys". Lineage: Eukaryota; Metazoa; Annelida; Polychaeta; Phyllodocida; Polynoidae. The record is from RNAcentral.